RNAcentral lists this ribosomal RNA (253 nucleotides) under uncultured bacterium. Its description in RNAcentral is "partial 16S ribosomal RNA". It matches the Rfam family "Bacterial small subunit ribosomal RNA", at positions 524 to 776 of the family's 1533-position model. The record is from RNAcentral.
UCCGAAGGGGGCUAUCGUUGUUCGGAAUUACUGGGCGUAAAGCGCACGUAGGCGGAUUUGUUAGUCAGGGGUGAAAUCCCGGGGCUCAACCUCGGAACUGCCUUUGAUACUGCAAGUCUCGAGUCCGGAAGAGGUGGGUGGAAUUCCUAGUGUAGAGGUGAAAUUCGUAGAUAUUAGGAAGAACACCAGUGGCGAAGGCGGCCCACUGGUCCGGUACUGACGCUGAGGUGCGAAAGCGUGGGGAGCAAACAGG